CCUACGGGUGGCUGCAGUGGGGAAUAUUGGACAAUGGGGGCAACCCUGAUCCAGCCAUGCCGCGUGUGUGAAGAAGGCCCUCGGGUUGUAAAGCACUUUCAGUGAGGAAGAACGCCUGGUGGUUAAUACCCAUCAGGAAAGACAUCACUCACAGAAGAAGCACCGGCUAACUCCGUGCCAGCAGCCGCGGUAAUACGGAGGGUGCGAGCGUUAAUCGGAAUUACUGGGCGUAAAGCGCGCGUAGGUGGCUUGAUAAGCCGGUUGUGAAAGCCCCGGGCUCAACCUGGGAACGGCAUCCGGAACUGUCAAGCUAGAGUGCAGGAGAGGAAGGUAGAAUUCCCGGUGUAGCGGUGAAAUGCGUAGAGAUCGGGAGGAAUACCAGUGGCGAAGGCGGCCUUCUGGACUGGCACUGACACUGAGGUGCGAAAGCGUGGGUAGCAAACAGGAUUAGAUACCCUAGUAGUC
This 465-nucleotide ribosomal RNA is filed under the name Vreelandella stevensii. RNAcentral's name for it is "partial 16S ribosomal RNA". It matches the Rfam family "Bacterial small subunit ribosomal RNA", at positions 338 to 795 of the family's 1533-position model. The record is from RNAcentral. Lineage: Bacteria; Pseudomonadati; Pseudomonadota; Gammaproteobacteria; Oceanospirillales; Halomonadaceae.